AUUGAACGCUGGCGGCAGGCCUAACACAUGCAAGUCGAGCGGAUGAAGGGAGCUUGCUCCUGGAUUCAGCGGCGGACGGGUGAGUAAUGCCUAGGAAUCUGCCUGGUAGUGGGGGAUAACGUCCGGAAACGGGCGCUAAUACCGCAUACGUCCUGAGGGAGAAAGUGGGGGAUCUUCGGACCUCACGCUCUCAGAUGAGCCUAGGUCGGAUUAGCUAGUUGGUGGGGUAAAGGCCUACCAAGGCGACGAUCCGUAACUGGUCUGAGAGGAUGAUCAGUCACACUGGAACUGAGACACGGUCCAGACUCCUACGGGAGGCAGCAGUGGGGAAUAUUGGACAAAGGGCGAAAGCCUGAUCCAGCCAUGCCGCGUGUGUGAAGAAGGUCUUCGGAUUGUAAAGCACUUUAAGUGGGGAGGAAGGGCAGUAAGUUAAUACCUUGCUGUUUUGACGGUACCAACAGAAUAAGCACCGGCUAACUUCGUG
Molecule: ribosomal RNA, 484 nt
Filed under: uncultured bacterium
Lineage: Bacteria
Description: partial 16S ribosomal RNA
Rfam family: Bacterial small subunit ribosomal RNA
Source: RNAcentral